GAUGAACGCUGGCGGCGUGCCUAAUACAUGCAAGUCGAGCGAACAGACGAGGAGCUUGCUCCUCUGACGUUAGCGGCGGACGGGUGAGUAACACGUGGAUAACCUACCUAUAAGACUGGGAUAACUUCGGGAAACCGUAGCUAAUACCGGAUAAUAUAUUGAACCGCAUGGUUCAAUAGUGAAAGACGGUUUUGCUGUCACUGAUAGAUGGAUCCGCGCCGCAUUAGCUAGUUGGUAAGGUAACGGCUUACCAAGGCAACGAUGCGUAGCCGACCUGAGAGGGUGAUCGGCCACACUGGAACUGAGACACGGUCCAGACUCCUACGGGAGGCAGCAGUAGGGAAUCUUCCGCAAUGGGCGAAAGCUUGACGGAGCAACGCCGCGUGAGUGAUGAAGGUCUUCGGAUCGUAAAACUCUGUUAUUAGGGACGAACAAAUGUGUAAGUAACUAUGCACGUCUUGACGGUACCUAAUCAGAAAGCCACGGCUAACUACGUG
RNAcentral lists this ribosomal RNA (497 nucleotides) under uncultured bacterium. RNAcentral describes it as "partial 16S ribosomal RNA". It matches the Rfam family "Bacterial small subunit ribosomal RNA", at positions 28 to 507 of the family's 1533-position model. The record is from RNAcentral.